RNAcentral lists this ribosomal RNA (73 nucleotides) under Thesium humifusum. Its description in RNAcentral is "partial 28S ribosomal RNA". Lineage: Eukaryota; Viridiplantae; Streptophyta; Magnoliopsida; Santalales; Thesiaceae. The record is from RNAcentral.
UCUCCUUGACCUAAAUACUUCUUUUGCCUUGAGGUGAAGGAGUUUUUUGAGCGACCCCAGGUCAGGCGGUACC